This 316-nucleotide unclassified non-coding RNA is filed under the name Pluteus multiformis. RNAcentral describes it as "partial internal transcribed spacer region". The stretch from base 1 to 46 matches the Rfam family "Eukaryotic small subunit ribosomal RNA", at positions 1786 to 1831 of the family's 1831-position model. RNAcentral also lists the same sequence under 1 other name. Lineage: Eukaryota; Fungi; Basidiomycota; Agaricomycetes; Agaricales; Pluteaceae. The record is from RNAcentral.
AAGUCGUAACAAGGUUUCCGUAGGUGAACCUGCGGAAGGAUCAUUAGUGAAUAAACUUGUGUGGGUUGUUGCUGGCCUCCUCGGAGGUAUGUGCACGCCUGCCAUUGUUUCAUUCCCCUUCCACCUGUGCACUUUUUGUAGACCAGCUGUCACUUUUCGGAUUGCUCGCAUCCCGGUUAUGAGGAUUUGCUCUGGCUGUCCUUGGUUGUCAGCGGUCUAUGUCUUUUAUCAACUCUGUAUGUGUAAACGAAUGUUUGUUCUGGGUUCUAUACCCAUAAAAUCUAUACAACUUUCAACAACGGAUCUCUUGGCUCUC